Non-coding RNA from Salvelinus sp. IW2-2015, 109 nucleotides. The record is from RefSeq and is a predicted model, not a curated record. NCBI's taxonomy places the organism in Eukaryota, Metazoa, Chordata, Actinopteri, Salmoniformes, Salmonidae.
CUGAUGAACAGGCGUUUAAGCAGCUGGCCCGGACAUACGCAGACUCUCACGCCAGCAUGGCCGACAACAACACAGAGAGGUGUGGAGCGUCCUUCAUCAGGAGCAGAGG